This 450-nucleotide ribosomal RNA is filed under the name uncultured Glomeromycotina. Its description in RNAcentral is "SSU rRNA". It matches the Rfam family "Eukaryotic small subunit ribosomal RNA", at positions 569 to 1023 of the family's 1831-position model. The record is from RNAcentral. Lineage: Eukaryota; Fungi; Glomeromycota.
AGCAGCCGCGGUAAUUCCAGCUCCAAUAGCGUAUAUUAAAGUUGUUGCAGUUAAAAAGCUCGUAGUUGAAUUUCGGGAUCAGUAGGUCGGUCAUGCCUAAGGUAUGUACUGGUCUCACUGGUUCCUCCUUCCUGAUGAACCGUAAUGCCAUUAAUUUGGUGUUGCGGGGAAACUGGACUGUUACUUUGAAAAAAUUAGAGUGUUUAAAGCAGGCUAACGCUUGAAUACAUUAGCAUGGAAUAAUGAAAUAGGACGUUCGAUCCUAUUUUGUUGGUUUCUAGGAUUGACGUAAUGAUUAAUAGGGAUAGUUGGGGGCAUUAGUAUUCAAUUGUCAGAGGUGAAAUUCUUGGAUUUAUUGAAGACUAACUACUGCGAAAGCAUUUGCCAAGGAUGUUUUCAUUAAUCAAGAACGAAAGUUAGGGGAUCGAAGACGAUCAGAUACCGUCGUAG